This 713-nucleotide ribosomal RNA is filed under the name uncultured bacterium. RNAcentral describes it as "bacterial SSU rRNA". It matches the Rfam family "Bacterial small subunit ribosomal RNA", at positions 93 to 823 of the family's 1533-position model. The record is from RNAcentral.
UAGUGGCGAACGGGUGAGUAACACGUAGGUGACCUGCCCCGAAGAGGGGGAUAACCGCUGGAAACGGCGGCUAAUACCCCAUGUAGUCGUGGGGGUUAGAGGCCUCACGAUUAAAGCUCCGGCGCUUCGGGAGGGGCCUGCGGCCUAUCAGCUAGUUGGUGGGGUAAUGGCCCACCAAGGCAAUGACGGGUAGCUGGUCUGAGAGGACGAUCAGCCACAUGGGCACUGAGACACGGGCCCGACUCCUACGGGAGGCAGCAGUGAGGGAUAUUGCGCAAUGGGCGAAAGCCUGACGCAGCAACGCCGCGUGGGCGAUGAAGGCCUUCGGGUUGUAAAGCCCUUUUCUGGGGGAAGAGGAAGGACGGUACCCCAGGAAUAAGUCCCGGCUAACUACGUGCCAGCAGCCGCGGUAAAACGUAGGGGACGAGUGUUAUCCGGAUUCACUGGGCGUAAAGCGCGUGCAGGUGGUGCUUUAAGUUGGGCGUGAAAUCUCCCGGCUUAACCGGGAGGAGUCGUUCAAUACUGGAGCACUUGAGGGCAGGAGAGGGAGGUGGAAUUCCCGGUGUAGUGGUGAAAUGCGUAGAUAUCGGGAGGAACACCAGUGGCGAAGGCGGCCUCCUGGCCUGCUUCUGACACUAAGACGCGAAAGCUAGGGUAGCAAACGGGAUUAGAUACCCCGGUAGUCCUAGCUGUAAACGAUGGAUACUAGGUGU